UACGCAUACGCUCUACGGAGGAAAGAGGGGCUUCGGGCUCUCGCUAUUGGAUGGGCCUGCGUGAGAUUAGCUAGUUGGUGAGGUAAUGGCUCACCAAGGCGACGAUCUCUAGCUGGUCUGAGAGGAUGAUCAGCCACACUGGGACUGAGACACGGCCCAGACUCCUACGGGAGGCAGCAGUGGGGAAUAUUGCACAAUGGGCGCAAGCCUGAUGCAGCCAUGCCGCGUGUGUGAAGAAGGCUUUCGGGUUGUAAAGCACUUUCAGUGGGGAGGAAGGCCUCGUAGUUAAUAGCUGCGAGGAUUGACGUUACCCACAGAAGAAGCACCGGCUAACUCCGUG
RNAcentral lists this ribosomal RNA (340 nucleotides) under uncultured bacterium. RNAcentral's name for it is "bacterial SSU rRNA". It matches the Rfam family "Bacterial small subunit ribosomal RNA", at positions 168 to 507 of the family's 1533-position model. The record is from RNAcentral.